GAUAGUAGCAAUACUAUGCUGCUAAGUGGCGCACGGGUGAGUAAUAUAUAGGUAACAUGCCCUUAAGAGGGGGAUAACAGAGGGAAACCUUUGCUAAUACCCCAUAACCCUUCUUGUCAUAAGAUGAGUUGGCAAAGUUUUUUCGCUUAAGGAUUGGCCUGUAUUGUAUCAGCUUGUUGGUGAGGUAACGGCUCACCAAGGCUAUGACGCAUAACUGGUCUGAGAGGAUGAUCAGUCACACUGGAACUGAGACACGGUCCAGACUCCUACGGGAGGCAGCAGUGGGGAAUAUUGCACAAUGGGGGAAACCCUGAUGCAGCAACGCCGCGUGGAGGAUGACACUUUUCGGAGCGUAAACUCCUUUUCUGUUAGAAGAUAAUGACGGUAUAACAGGAAUAAGCACCGGCUAACUCCGUGCCAGCAGCCGCGGUAAUACGGAGGGUGCAAGCGUUACUCGGAAUCACUGGGCGUAAAGAGCGUGUAGGCUGUUUAGCAAGUCAGAAGUGAAAUCCUAUAGCUCAACUAUAGAACUGCUUUUGAAACUGCUUAACUAGAGUGUGGGAGAGGCAGAUGGAAUUUCUGGUGUAGGGGUAAAAUCCGUAGAUAUCAGAAGGAAUACCGAUUGCGAAGGCGAUCUGCUGGAACAUUACUGACGCUGAGGCGCGAAAGCGUGGGGAGCAAACAGGAUUAGAUACCCUGGUAGUCCACGCCCUAAACGAUGUACACUAGUUGUUGUGGUGCUAGUCACUGCAGUAAUACAGCUAACGCAUUAAGUGUACCGCCUGGGGAGUACGGUCGCAAGAUUAAAACUCAAAGGAAUAGACGGGGACCCGCACAAGCGGUGGAGCAUGUGGUUUAAUUCGAAGAUACGCGAAAAACCUUACCUGGCCUUGACAUUGAUAGAAUCCGAUAGAGAUAUUGGAGUGCCGGCUUGCCGGAACUUGAAAACAGGUGCUGCACGGCUGUCGUCAGCUC
This 975-nucleotide ribosomal RNA is filed under the name uncultured bacterium. RNAcentral's name for it is "bacterial SSU rRNA". It matches the Rfam family "Bacterial small subunit ribosomal RNA", at positions 72 to 1061 of the family's 1533-position model. The record is from RNAcentral.